UACGUAGGGGGCGAGCGUUGUCCGGAUUUACUGGGCGUAAAGAGCGCGUAGGCGGCCUGUUAAGUUGGCUGUGAAAGGUCCCGGCCCAACUGGGAUAAGUCAGCCGAGACUGGCGGGCUUGAGGGCGGUAGAGGAAGGUGGAAUUCCGGGUGUAGUGGUGAAAUGCGUAGAUAUCCGGAGGAACACCGGUGGCGAAGGCGGCCUUCUGGGCCGUACCUGACGCUGAGGCGCGAAAGCGUGGGGAG
Molecule: ribosomal RNA, 245 nt
Filed under: uncultured bacterium
Lineage: Bacteria
Description: partial 16S ribosomal RNA
Rfam family: Bacterial small subunit ribosomal RNA
Source: RNAcentral